ACUAAUACAAAACCAGAAACAACAACACAAUGUCCAACCCCAAGGUUUUCUUUGAUAUGUCCAUCGGUGGAAAGGCCGCUGGCCGCGUCGUUAUGGAGCUUCGUGCCGAUGCUGUCCCCAAGACUGCCGAGAACUUCCGUGCUCUAUGCACUGGCGAGAAGGGAUUCGGAUACGCCGGAUCUUCCUUCCACCGUGUCAU
Molecule: non-coding RNA, 199 nt
Filed under: Cylindrotheca closterium
Lineage: Eukaryota; Bacillariophyta; Bacillariophyceae; Bacillariales; Bacillariaceae
Source: RNAcentral